AGUGAACGCUGGCGGUAGACCUAACACAUGCAAGUCGAACGGCAGCACAGUAAGAUCUUGCUCUUACGGGUGGCGAGUGGCGGACGGGUGAGGAAUACAUCGGAAUCUACUUUUUCGUGGGGGAUAACGUAGGGAAACUUACGCUAAUACCGCAUAUGACCUACGGGUGAAAGCAGUGGAUCUUCGCACCUUGCGCGAUUGAAUGAGCCGAUGUCGGAUUAGCUAGUUGGCGGGGUAAAGGCCCACCAAGGCGACGAUCCGUAGCUGGUCUGAGAGGAUGAUCGGCCACACUGGAACUGAGACACGGUCCAGACUCCUACGGGAGGCAGCAGUGGGGAAUAUUGGGCAAUGGGCGCAAGCCUGACCCAGCCAUACCGCGUGGGUGAAGAAGGCCUUCGGGUUGUAAAGCCCUGUUGUUGGGAAAGAACAGCAGCAGGUUAAUACCCCGCUGUUCUGACGGUACCCAAUGAAUAAGCACCGGCUAACUACGUG
This 492-nucleotide ribosomal RNA is filed under the name uncultured bacterium. RNAcentral's name for it is "partial 16S ribosomal RNA". It matches the Rfam family "Bacterial small subunit ribosomal RNA", at positions 29 to 507 of the family's 1533-position model. The record is from RNAcentral.